UACGUAGGAGCGAGCGUUGUCCGGAAUUACUGGGCGUAAAGAGCUCGUAGGUGGUUUGUCACGUCGUCUGUGAAAUUCCGGGGCUUAACCUCGGGCGUGCAGGCGAUACGGGCAAUACUUGAGUGCUGUAGGGGAGACUGGAAUUCCUGGUGUAGCGGUGAAAUGCGCAGAUAUCAGGAGGAACACCAAUGGCGAAGGCAGGUCUCUGGGCAGUUACUGACGCUGAGGAGCGAAAGCAUGGGUAGCGAACAGGAUUAGA
RNAcentral lists this ribosomal RNA (259 nucleotides) under uncultured prokaryote. RNAcentral describes it as "partial 16S ribosomal RNA". It matches the Rfam family "Bacterial small subunit ribosomal RNA", at positions 524 to 782 of the family's 1533-position model. The record is from RNAcentral.